This 72-nucleotide transfer RNA is filed under the name Bos taurus (domestic cattle). It matches the Rfam family "tRNA". Rfam says of the family: Transfer RNA (tRNA) molecules are approximately 80 nucleotides in length. Lineage: Eukaryota; Metazoa; Chordata; Mammalia; Artiodactyla; Bovidae. The record is from Rfam by way of RNAcentral. RNAcentral also lists the same sequence under 3 other names.
UUCCUGGUGGCUCAGAUGGUAAAGCAUCUGCCUGCAGUGCAGGAGACCCAGGUUUGAUCCCUGGUUUGGGAA